Molecule: long non-coding RNA, 1183 nt
Organism: Sabethes cyaneus
Lineage: Eukaryota; Metazoa; Arthropoda; Insecta; Diptera; Culicidae
Exons: 3
Source: RefSeq, a predicted model, not a curated record
GCCAGUUACCACCUGCCGUCCGUGCACGGUUCAGUCUUUUACUCUGGCUACGUUUGAUAGUUUUACCGCUGUGUCAUCAAUAUUUAGCUUGAGGUUAUUAGUUAUGAUCGAGAUAUACGACGACUAUAUCGCUAGACCAAUAUCGUACCUCGUUGUCUGCCGGUAAACAUGCAAUUGAAUUUUCAAAACUCUGCGAUUUUUUGGAGAAAUAAUAAUUUAAUUUUCUGUGAAUUGAUUUAAAUUUAUCUAUAACCAUCCAACGGAAUGCAGUUCCCCGACCGUCAAUCCUUAAAGAUGAUUAAGUGUUGGUUGAAAAGUCAAUACUAUAGAAAUAAAUUUGUGGCCGAUAGUGAGCCCAAGUACUGUAACGCUUGAAUGCGAUGAUUGGAACUGACACGCUAACAUAUCAACCGAUUACGAACAUGUAAGGGGAGAAGUUUAAAGUCCAUCGUUGGUAGCUUCUCCUCUCGGGCUGUUGCAGUAUGUAUUGAAUCUUUCGGAUGGGGCUCUUUUAAAUAUGUUUCAAUUUAAUCAACCGAACCGAACAUAAAAAACUGGAAUAUUAACAUAAUAUAAUGUGGUCUUUAGGUUCAAAAAGAGUUACAUUUUUUCUGAAAUGAAAACUGGUUUAAGUAGUAACUAGCUGCCUGAAGACUGACUACUAAGUAGUAAUGCAUUUAGUAGUACGCAAGUCGGUUACCGUGAACGCAUGUAAUUCCGAUCACUCGACCAAGGCAGGUGACUUUUAGAAGAUUGAAUAAACAACCGUACGCAAUGAACAUGCUUUGACUACGAGCAUUCUUAUUGACUAGGGUAACUAACCAAUUCCAUUUGAUUUUGUUAUUGUUAUUGUUGUUAGUGUUAUUUAUUGUUUACACUCAUCGGAUGAACGGUCAACACGAACACUUACGAACUAAGAGAUAAAGCUAGGGGUUUACAUAAAAAUUUGUCAAACGGUUACGAAAAACACUAGAGCUAACAUUAAAAUCAAACAAACAAUAGUACUGGUUAAAUAACAAACACAUUGACCUGAUGGGCUCGUUCUGUGCGUAGUUUGUUAUGUGUUGUAGUCUCAUAAUAUUCCAAUAUCGGAGAUGGCUGUUUCCAAAACGGAUCGAACUAGGCUGAAGUACAAGACGCGCAAGCAGUAUGGAUCACGGAACUCAGCUGAGACGCGGAGGAU